CAGCGUCACGAGUGGCAACCAUAUUUAUUGGGCCUAAAGCGUCCGUAGCCUGUUUGAUAAGUCUUUUGUGAAAUCGUUGAGCUCAACUUAACGUCGUGCAAGAGAUACUGUCAGACUUGGAAUUGGGAAGAGUCAGAGGUAUUCUGGGGGGAGCGGUAAAAUGCUAUAAUCCCUGGAGGACCACCAGUGGCGAAAGCGUCUGACUAGAACAACUUCGACGGUGAGGGACGAAAGCCAGGGGAGCAAAACGGAUUAGAGACCCGAGUAGUCC
RNAcentral lists this ribosomal RNA (271 nucleotides) under uncultured archaeon. RNAcentral describes it as "partial 16S ribosomal RNA". It matches the Rfam family "Archaeal small subunit ribosomal RNA", at positions 477 to 747 of the family's 1478-position model. The record is from RNAcentral.